This is a long non-coding RNA of Corapipo altera (White-ruffed manakin), 638 nucleotides long. RefSeq lists it as uncharacterized. The transcript has 3 exons. NCBI's taxonomy places the organism in Eukaryota, Metazoa, Chordata, Aves, Passeriformes, Pipridae. The record is from RefSeq and is a predicted model, not a curated record.
AUUUUCCCGUCCUAAAACCAGCAAUAAACAGGAUAAUUACAUCUCUCUUUACAGCAUCCCAUCAUGGAACCAGCCCCUGGCAGUGCUGACAUCGAUUUGCCCCAGAGUAUGGACUGGCUGUGAUAUCUCUGCUUGGAAAAUGGUUCUUCAGAGCUCAGCCACUAACAAGGUGCUUUCUUUGAUGUCAGCCAAAACUGUAGCCUCUUUAAAAAGAAUGAAAAUGUCUCUUAAAUGCUGCUGAAAUUCCGAGCUGCUGCAAUAUUUAUAAAUCCCGAAUUCACACGGCACUGGAGAAAAGUGCAGAGGGUUUCAGGAAUACCUCACCAAAAGCUGGCAUUCCUCAUAGAGAGCAAUCUUUUGGCUUCUGAGAGUGGAAUUGAUCAGAGAAGAAAAAAACCAAUGUUUUACCUGUCUGAAGUCAGAAAGGCCAUAAUUGCUUGAAAACAGGGGUGACAAAAAUGUCUCAGUUGCAAAGUCCAUGUUAUGGGGGUACUGCUGCCAUCCCAGCUGGGAGCAGGGAACUCUCACCAUGACCUCACUAGCUGCUGAUCCCUUUACUUGGUGCCCUUGGAAUGCAACAGGCUACACAACACAUUGGAAUCAUCACUAACUGGAAUAAAUAUCGCUCUGGAACUAUC